GGAUUGUGGCUCAGUGGUAGAGCACUUGACUAGCACCUGAGAGGCCCUGGGUUUGAUCCUCAGCACCA
RNAcentral lists this transfer RNA (68 nucleotides) under Marmota monax (woodchuck). RNAcentral's name for it is "tRNA.Ala". The stretch from base 5 to 65 matches the Rfam family "tRNA", at positions 6 to 65 of the family's 71-position model. Rfam says of the family: Transfer RNA (tRNA) molecules are approximately 80 nucleotides in length. Their secondary structure includes four short double-helical elements and three loops (D, anti-codon, and T loops). Further hydrogen bonds mediate the characteristic L-shaped molecular structure. tRNAs have two regions of fundamental functional importance: the anti-codon, which is responsible for specific mRNA codon recognition, and the 3' end, to which the tRNAs corresponding amino acid is attached (by aminoacyl-tRNA synthetases). tRNAs cope with the degeneracy of the genetic code in two manners: having more than one tRNA (with a specific anti-codon) for a particular amino acid; and 'wobble' base-pairing, i.e. permitting non-standard base-pairing at the 3rd anti-codon position. The record is from RNAcentral. Lineage: Eukaryota; Metazoa; Chordata; Mammalia; Rodentia; Sciuridae.